AUGUUCCUCCAUAAUUGAGAAAUCCUGUGCCUAGAGAGAGAGAGAGAGAGAGAGAGAGAGAUGGUGCUACUUGGGUUCGACGAGGUGGCGACCGUGGACGCUAAAGAAUGAGAGACACACUCCUUAUCUUUACAUGUUUCUAUCUUCGCUAUUAUUGAGCUUUGAGGCAUUUUUGGCUCUCUCCCAAGAACAAGCAACGAGAAAUGGCUUCCGGAGUUGUUUAUUCUCUGCAACAACACAGAGGUGUUGGGGAUUAAUUUGAUGCGGUCUUGGAUGUGCUGAAAAAAAGGGGUAUGUGUUUUUUAUUUUCCCUUUUUUGUUAAUUUUUGCAAUCUAUAUCUGCAAGGACCAACUUUAUUAGAGUGUUCCAAUUUCGUUCA
Molecule: long non-coding RNA, 380 nt
Organism: Juglans microcarpa x Juglans regia
Lineage: Eukaryota; Viridiplantae; Streptophyta; Magnoliopsida; Fagales; Juglandaceae
Exons: 3
Source: RefSeq, a predicted model, not a curated record